AGGAAUGAAAUGGGGUGUGCAGGUUGAGAGACAUUUCAGGAGAAUCAGGAGGAGUUGACAGCUAAGAGGUAAGGGAGAAAGGAGUGGAGGAUGAACCUUGGGGGCCCGUGGAGAGAAGGGGCUUAACCCAGGGGAGGAGGAAGGAACUAAGGGUGGGGAGCCACCUGAGCCUUUUUGUUCAGGAGUUGAGUCUUUUUCCUGAAAGCGGAGGGAAACCAUUGAAAGGAAGGGAAAUGACUUAAUCAGAUUUGCAUAGAAAGAUCACCCUGGCUCCUGCCCACCUAUUCUGCAAGCUGAAGCCAUAUAGUGCCAAAUUUCCCUUUGUGUUACUUAGGCUUGACCCCUUGCUAAUUUCCUCUUGUUUGAGAUGAAGCAUUAGCCCUGAAAGAUGCCUAUCUGUUCUUCUCAAAGCACCUGGAAUAUGUUAAACAAAGUCCUAUUUAGAUUACAUUGAUUCCUAAUUGCUUUCGGUUUUAUCUUAACACAGUCUCCUGUAAAUUUGCUUUCUACCUUUAGUAGGAUUAUAAUUGGGAAUGUAAACAAGAAAUAUAAACAACUCAAGUUAGAGACCUUCAAUUUAUUGCAGAUAUCUUAGACACUCUCCUUUGGGGAGAAAGGGGCCAAUAAAGUGAACAGUGUCUUAUUAUUAUUAUUUUUAUUACUCAAAUGAAUUUAUCACAUAUGUAGUUGUAUAAUGAUCAUAACAAUCUGAUUUCACAGGAUUUCCAUCCCACAGCCCAAGCACAUCCCCCCACCCCCCAAACUGUCUCCUCCGGAGACCAUAAGUUUUUCAAAGUCUGUGAGUCAGCAUCUGUUCUGCAAAAAAGUUCAGUCUGUCCUUUUUUCAGAUUCCACAUGUCAGUGAUAGCGUUUGAUGUUGGUGUCUCAUUGUCUGACUGACUUCACUUAGCAUGAUAGUUUCUAGGUCCAUCCAUGUUGCUAAAAAUGCUGGUAUUUCGUUCUUUUUAAUGGCUGAGUAAUAUUCCAUUGUGUAUAUGUACCACUUCUUGAUCCACUCCUCUGUCGAUGGACAUUUAGGUUGUUUCCAUGUCUUAGCUGUUGUAAAUAGUGCUGCAAUGAACAUUGGAGUACAUGUGUCUUUGCAAGUCAUGGUUUUCUCUGGAUAAAUGCCCAGAAGUGGGAUUGCUGGAUCAAAUGGUAGUUCUAUUUUUAGUUUUCUGAGGAAUCUGCAUACUGUUUUCCACAGUGGUUGCACCAAUUUACAAUCCCACCCAAUAGUGUAAUAGGGAACACUCAUUACCUGUUUCUACUCCCACAAACCUGUAAUCAGUCUGUCUCUUCCAGAGCAUCGCAGAGAGCGCGCUUACUGUUGUUUGUAAGCGUUUGCAGCUUUUAAGAGCCGAAUGUCUUAAAAGUGUGAGCCUGUGAUCUCAUUUCACUCCUUCUAGCAAUCCUAUGGGAUAGGGAUUAUCAUUCCUAUUUUCAGAUGAGAAAUUGAAGACCAGAGGAUUUAAGAAGCCGCUCAGCUCCUACAGCUAAUAAAUUCUGGAGUUUGAAUCCAGGUUUUCUUAGUUUUUUUUUUAUUACAGCUUCUUCUUAUGGCAAGUUUUAAACAUACACAAAAGUACGAAAGAUGUAUGAGUAUAAAUACCUUAUGUUCACACCCCAGCUUCAGCAGAUACCAACCUGGGGUCAGUUUUAUUUGAUCUCUAACCCCUGCUCUCCUCCCACCUAUGAUUAUUUUAAAGCAAAUCCUAGACAUAUCAUUUAAUCUUUAAUAUGCAUUUUGGAGGUAAGGAUUUUCCUCCCCCUCUUUUUUCCUCUAUAAUCACAAUAUUAUCACACCUAGGAAAAUGAACAGUAGUAAUUCCUAAAUAUUACCUAGAAUCCAUUUGGUGUUCAGUUUCUUCAGUUAUCUCAUAAAUGUCAUUUUAUACUUGGUUUGUUUGAAUUGGGAUCAAAACAAGGACCACCUAUUAUUUCUGGUAAUCCACAGCAAUUUCACCUGUCCUCCCCGCCGCCCAACCCUCCCUGUCUUUUAUUUGUUGAGGGAGAAUCAGGUCAUUCGUUCUGUACAGCUAGUCACAUUCUGGAUUUGGCUUUUUAUAUCCCUUUAAUGUAUUCCUCUAUCCCCCCCCCUUUUUUUUGGCCAUUGCACUUUAUGGGUAGUGCCGUGUGUCACAUCAGCAAGCAGUAAAGGCUGGUUCUCACUUUGUGUGGCAUCGGGAUUGAUCAUUGGGUUCAGGUGUUGGUUAGCACAAUUCCUCUGUUGUAAGUUUCUCAUGAGCCUUUCACAGAAUGAUUUUAGCAGCUGUCACUGGUCAUUGCCUAGCUCUACUGUUUCAUUAGGGGUUGCAAAACAAAUCCAGGUGUACUUGAUGCCAAGUCAUUGCUCUGUUAAAUCCCAUGUCUCCUGAUUAAAGAAAGCUUUUGCAGAACUGCUAUUAAUAAUUCAGCUUAAUAUAUUUUAAAAAUAAAUCUGUAUGCUCCGUUCAGUACUGGUUACUUAUAAUAUUGCUUUCCUGGGUUGGUCUUAGAGGAAUUAUUUGGGAGAGGAAUUCCAGCAUAUUUUUUUUUCUUUUUUGUCUUUUCUGGGACUGCACCUGUGGCAUAUGGAGGUUCCCAGGCUAGGGUUCUAAUCAGCACUGUAGCCACUGGCCUACGCCAGAGCCACAGCAAUGCCAGAUCCUAGCUGAGUCUGUGACCUGCACCACAGCUUACAGCAACGCCGGAUCUUUAACCCACUGAGCCAGGCUGGGGAUUAAACCUGCAACCUCAUGGUUCCUAGUCAGAUUAACCACUGAGCCACAGGGGGAACUCGACCAGCAUAUUUUUUUAAUUGAAAAAAAGAGUAGAAAGGACAGGUGGGGAAAAGUGUAUAUCAUACAGGAAGAAUAAGCUUUUCUUUGUAAAACUCUUUUUUUUUCAGCUCUUUAUAUGUAUGUGUGAGCCAUGAUGUGAAAUAUAUUCCUUAUUGGGGGUUAUAUUCCAAACCAUGUUGGUCUAAUGUUCAGAUGAUCACCCUGAUAUGUAGCAAGUUUCUCAUUCAAGGAUCCAAUUAUGUUCAAAUCUGCUACUUACAAAAUAGUGCCGUGUAUCGAUCUAUUUUAGAAUUUCAUUUAAGGGGUUUUUUGGUUGACUGCCAGUUAACCAGAAUUGCAUUACCCCCAAUGACCUAAUCCUCUACUCUUCAAGUUGAAUACGUGAAUAAAUGUGAACUCUUCCAGGAAUUUUCAUACAUGGCUGAUAUUUUUGAUGCUUCGUUAUCCUUGAGGUAGGGGAGAUGAUUCCACUGGCGUCAUUAAAGGCAUGCUGGAGUCUGAUCAGUUUGAGUUGUUUGGGGAGGAGAAAGAAGUCAGGACUGGGUGAGUGGAGAAACCACCAGCCCCUGGGCUGGCUUCUGAGGCAUAGGAGUGGGGCAGUGGCCGCCAGACAAACCAGGCCCGCGUGGUAGCAAAGGCAGUCCUAGUAUUGUUCCCGCCCUGACAUCAGUGGGUGGGGUAUUUAGUAACAGCAGCCACCAGGCCCCAGGAAAGGCAGACCUUGGAUUAUAGUGUACAGUUAACAUUUUAAAGCUGUGGAGACGUUGGAGUUCCCCGGUGGCCUAGCAGUUAAGGAUUCAGCGUUUUCACUGCUGUGGCUCAGGUUCAGUCCCUGGCCCAGGAACUUCUGCAUGCCCUGGGCACAGCC
Molecule: long non-coding RNA, 3651 nt
Filed under: Sus scrofa (pig)
Lineage: Eukaryota; Metazoa; Chordata; Mammalia; Artiodactyla; Suidae
Description: lncRNA (ENSSSCG00000061012.1)
Source: RNAcentral